Molecule: long non-coding RNA, 2260 nt
Organism: Neopsephotus bourkii (Bourke's parrot)
Lineage: Eukaryota; Metazoa; Chordata; Aves; Psittaciformes; Psittacidae
Exons: 3
Source: RefSeq, a predicted model, not a curated record
CCGGGUACCGGUGCUCCGGGCAGCCCCUGCGGGGAGAGGUUGCUGUGUUGUGUAAGGAGACGGCUCGUUCCCCUGGAUCGCUGUUGUCGGAGGUGGGGAGGCGGCCUUAUGCUUCAGUGAGGAGCGACCCGGUGGCUCAGUCGCUCUCCUUGCAACGGUCAGGCAGGAGCAGACCAGCGGCCUGGGUCAUGACAAGGUGCUAAUCUUCGCUGGGACAUAAUUGUCGCUCUCUGCCCAGGUUGAACUUCAGGGACCAGGAGGUCUUUAACACAGAGAACCAAAACCGUCUUUGGUGUGAAGUAGCAGCUGUGUAGCGGUUUUGAGGAGCUAAAUGCUUCUGAUCUCUGUCUAAACUCCUAAUAAAGCCCUGCUUUAGGAGGUUUAGGAUCUGUGUGUAAGGAUGCUGAAGUAAGCCUCAGUGCUAAUACCCUUGCUGGUGCUACAGCACAUGCAGCUUGCUCUGGAGCAUGCCUGCCAUUCACAGGUGGAACCAGGCCUGUUGAUCUGCAAGUUAGUGCACAACACGAAUACAAAACAGUGUGCUACCUCAGCUAAGAUACCCUGCCUGUCUGAAGAUAAUACUAUGAGGUUUUAGGACUUUGUGUUGUUUGCUUUCCCUCUGGCUCCAUGAAGCUUACUUUCUUGUCUGAUAGUGGCACAACUUCAAGAGGAGGAAUGCAGAGGCCACCUGACCUGUCUGUCCCUUCCCAAACCUACCUUGUAGAAUAAAUCACUGUCCUAGCAAGGGUCAGAUGUGAAUUUGAUCCUCUGUACGUGCAGGUGUAAAUAGAGUGGCUUCCAUGGACCUGCUGUGAGCAAUGCACUACAGCCUCAGCCUGUGGACUGCAAGUUGGCAUCUGGCAGUCUGCUAAAGCUCCCAAUCUGUUCUGCAUUGAGGGCCAAGCUUCAUGGAAAACCCUUAGUCUUCAUGCUUGUGUCUGCAUAUUGGCCAUUCUGUUAAAGACAUACUGGUAUUUUUGUAAAACAUAAUUUAAUGUGACUACAAGAUACAAAAAAAGUUUGUAAGAUCCUAAACAUCCAUUGUUGGCACCAAAAGCAUUUUGGAUAUUGAAUUUUUUUUCAAUUCUUAUUAUAUAUUCUCCCACCUUCUGGAAAACCUGAGUAUUGUUUUAACUGCCUUUUCCAUUAAAAUGUCCCUUUAAUUGUCUGGAAAUGUAUCUUAAAUUUGAUUCUGUUCCAAACACUUGUUCAGCAAAACUGAUGAUGACCUAUUUCUGAACCAGAGUUUAUUACAAGAAAAACAUAAAUGAACCCUCUGUGGAAUUUUCCAAGAUUUUUGGAGAGGAAGUGCAGUAUCCUCUUUGUGGCACAACAUGGACAGAUAUUCGAGUCCCAGUUUUGCUACUAACUUUCCUGUGUAACUUUGGACAAGUUGCUAAAUCUCUGCUGCCUGUUUUCUUGCUUUGUAAAAGAAGCUAAUAUUAACUUGCCACCCACAAUCUGACAAGUCUGAGAGAAUGUUUGCAAAGUACUCUGAGAAGGUCAGGUGGAAAAUGUUAUGGAAGUCCAAGCCUCUGCUAGCCAAAGAGGAUAUUUACAAUAGCUUCCUAUUUUAUGUAGUGAAAUAAAAAUGUUAUAGUGUAUAACCAGAUGAAACCAAGACUGAUCUAAAGUUAAAUGCAGGAGGCAUUUUUUGACCUUUCAACAGAAAUUAUAUAAGCACUGUUAGGUUAUAAAUAGUCUUUUGUUUUCCUACUCUUUGUCUAACACUCAAACACAGGGUUAGUUGUUUGUUAUGAAGAGAUAGGGCAAUGUUUUAGAGUGGAAACAAUUGUUCACUGUUCUUACUCAUACAGUCCCUAUAAUGUUUGUAACUAGCAUUUGCUGCUUUUCUUAGCACUUUUUAUCUUCAAAAUGCUACAGAAACAAACUUUCUAGGCCUGAAAAUGACAACAUGGAGAGAAAAACAAAACACUCACUAGCCCAUUCCAAAUGUGAAAGUUUCUUCUUUCCUGGUUUGAUACAAGUCUGAAGAGCAAAAAAGCCAGUGCUUAACUAUGAUUCAACUGGCACAUAAACACUUGUGCAUUGUUUCUUAUUUUUAUUAUGAAUCCUCAGCAAUAAGUCAUGAAAUGUGUCCACUCUUAAAGUAUUUUUAUUAGCACUAAGGAUAAUGAUACUGAAUUCUUCACAGAAUUAUGUAUGUGUGCAUAUUUCCAAGUAUGCUUAUUUUCAACAUUUGUCAUUUCCUUGAACAGACAAUAAAUGGUUAACUAAUAGCAAUUUAAUUUUAUUUUUU